AUUGAACGCUGGCGGCAGGCCUAACACAUGCAAGUCGAGCGGAUGAAGGGAGCUUGCUCCUGGAUUCAGCGGCGGACGGGUGAGUAAUGCCUAGGAAUCUGCCUGGUAGUGGGGGAUAACGUCCGGAAACGGGCGCUAAUACCGCAUACGUCCUGAGGGAGAAAGUGGGGGAUCUUCGGACCUCACGCUAUCAGAUGAGCCUAGGUCGGAUUAGCUAGUUGGUGGGGUAAAGGCCUACCAAGGCGACGAUCCGUAACUGGUCUGAGAGGAUGAUCAGUCGCACUGGAACUGAGACACGGUCCAGACUCCUACGGGAGGCAGCAGUGGGGAAUAUUGGACAAUGGGCGAAAGCCUGAUGCAGCCAUGCCGCGUGUGUGAAGAAGGUCUUCGGAUUGUAAAGCACUUUAAGUUGGGAGGAAGGGCAGUAAGUUAAUACCUUGCUGUUUUGACGUUACCAACAGAAUAAGCACCGGCUAACUUCGUG
Molecule: ribosomal RNA, 484 nt
Filed under: uncultured bacterium
Lineage: Bacteria
Description: partial 16S ribosomal RNA
Rfam family: Bacterial small subunit ribosomal RNA
Source: RNAcentral